UUGACCUAAUGAUACAUAAAUGAAGAUUAUGUCAGAAAAUUCUUGUUUCAACCCAAAAUCUUGAGAUUGAACUUGUUUUCAGAAUUUAAAUUAUGUUCUUCGAUUGAAAUAGUUUCUCUUUUCAGUAAAUGUAUGAUCAGAAGCAGAGAAGAUUAGUGGCAGGAUAUGGAACUGAAUAUUCAGUGGAUAGCUAAACCCAGAAUUCUCAUAGAGGGCCGUAUAGCAUGCGAGAUCAUCUUCAGUGAACCAGUGUGGCAAGGGAGUGGAUGGCUCCACAAGGUCCAUGAUCUCCUGAUCCUCCUCUGCAACCUGGAGUUCCCUCCUACAGAACAGUCAGAAGAAAGUUGGGGGUUGUAGUUUAGCGGGCUGUCAAGUAUUUGUUUUUUCCUCUAGUGUAUUUGAGUUGUAUUUUCUACCUUGUCGUAGUCCUUGAAGUUGUAUUUAGAAGUUGAUGUAU
Long non-coding RNA from Dioscorea cayenensis subsp. rotundata (Guinea yam), 457 nucleotides. RefSeq lists it as uncharacterized. The record is from RefSeq and is a predicted model, not a curated record. The transcript has 3 exons. NCBI's taxonomy places the organism in Eukaryota, Viridiplantae, Streptophyta, Magnoliopsida, Dioscoreales, Dioscoreaceae.